RNAcentral lists this ribosomal RNA (581 nucleotides) under uncultured bacterium. Its description in RNAcentral is "partial 16S ribosomal RNA". It matches the Rfam family "Bacterial small subunit ribosomal RNA", at positions 355 to 932 of the family's 1533-position model. The record is from RNAcentral.
UGGGGAAUUUUGGACAAUGGGCGAAAGCCUGAUCCAGCAAUGCCGCGUGUGUGAAGAAGGCCUUCGGGUUGUAAAGCACUUUUGUCCGGAAAGAAAUCCUUGGCUCUAAUACAGUCGGGGGGAUGACGGUACCGGAAGAAUAAGCACCGGCUAACUACGUGCCAGCAGCCGCGGUAAUACGUAGGGUGCAAGCGUUAAUCGGAAUUACUGGGCGUAAAGCGUGCGCAGGCGGUUUGCUAAGACCGAUGUGAAAUCCCCGGGCUCAACCUGGGGAACUGCAUUGGUGACUGGCAGGCUAGAGUAUGGCAGAGGGGGGUAGAAUUCCACGUGUAGCAGUGAAAUGCGUAGAGAUGUGGAGGAAUACCGAUGGCGAAGGCAGCCCCCUGGGCCAAUACUGACGCUCAUGCACGAAAGCGUGGGGAGCAAACAGGAUUAGAUACCCUGGUAGUCCACGCCCUAAACGAUGUCAACUAGUUGUUGGGGAUUCAUUUCCUUAGUAACGUAGCUAACGCGUGAAGUUGACCGCCUGGGGAGUACGGUCGCAAGAUUAAAACUCAAAGGAAUUGACGGGGUCAUAGCUG